GCAUAACCCAAUGUGCAUGCUGAGGAGGCCUCACGCCAGUUUAGGCUCUCCAGUAUCUCCCACUGAGCUACUCUGUCCCCGACUUAGAGGACCAGGAGAAGGGGGAGCUGGAGGCUGGAGCCUGCCACACCGUGGCUCGUCUCACUCUGGAUGGUGGUGGCAACAGAGAUGGCAGUGUGGCUGGAGUUUUAGGAGGGCGGCCUGAGCCGUAGGAGGGGGCUGGAGCAGUAACAUGGCGGCCUGAGCGGUUUUUCUGGCAUUGUCUGCCCAGCUGCUCCAAGCCAGGCUGAUGAAGGAGGAGUCCCCUGUGGUGAGCUGGAGGUUGUAGCCUGAAGAUGGCACAGCUCUGUGAUUCAUCUCCUGCGGUUGUGGCGGCCACGGUGAUGGAGACUGCAGCUCAACAGGAGUGGUAGGAGGGUACCCGUGGAGGCCAAGUAGUAGGAGCCUUGGAGGGUGGGUAGGUGCAUGGAGGGUGACAGCAGCGCUGGUUCCGUUGGCGUCGGCGCUAAUGGUGGCAGCAGCAGCAAGUCUAGGGGCCAGGAAGGGGGAGUAGGAGAG
RNAcentral lists this long non-coding RNA (558 nucleotides) under Homo sapiens (human). Its description in RNAcentral is "non-protein coding lnc-OR4F3-5:2". The record is from RNAcentral. Lineage: Eukaryota; Metazoa; Chordata; Mammalia; Primates; Hominidae.